RNAcentral lists this ribosomal RNA (350 nucleotides) under uncultured bacterium. RNAcentral's name for it is "bacterial SSU rRNA". It matches the Rfam family "Bacterial small subunit ribosomal RNA", at positions 1 to 334 of the family's 1533-position model. The record is from RNAcentral.
CUAGCGACUUCAGAGUUUGAUCCUGGCUCAGGACGAACGCUGGCGGCGUGCCUAAUACAUGCAAGUCGAGCGAACCAAUAAGAAGCUUGCUUUUUUGUUGGUUAGCGGCGGACGGGUGAGUAACACGUGGGUAACCUGCCUGUAAGACCGGGAUAACUCCGGGAAACCGGUGCUAAUACCGGAUAGAUUAUCUUUCCACCUGGAGAGAUAAGGAAAGAUGGCUUUUGCCAUCACUUACAGAUGAGCCCGCGGCGCAUUAGCUAGUUGGUGAGGUAACGGCUCACCAAGGCGACGAUGCGUAGCCGACCUGAGAGGGUGAUCGGCCACACUGGGACUGAGACACGGCCCAG